RNAcentral lists this ribosomal RNA (506 nucleotides) under uncultured fungus. RNAcentral describes it as "eukaryotic LSU rRNA". The stretch from base 157 to 311 matches the Rfam family "5.8S ribosomal RNA". Lineage: Eukaryota; Fungi. The record is from RNAcentral.
UACAGAACGCCCGGGCUUCGGCCUGGUUAUUCAUAACCCUUUGUUGUCCGACUCUGUUGCCUCCGGGGCGACCCUGCCUUCGGGCGGGGGCUCCGGGUGGACACUUCAAACUCUUGCGUAACUUUGCAGUCUGAGUAAACUUAAUUAAUAAAUUAAAACUUUUAACAACGGAUCUCUUGGUUCUGGGCAUCGAUGAAGAACGCAGCGAAAUGCGAUAAGUAAUGUGAAUUGCAGAAUUCAGUGAAUCAUCGAAUCUUUGAACGCACAUUGCGCCCCCUGGUAUUCCGGGGGGCAUGCCUGUUCGAGCGUCAUUUCACCACUCAAGCCUCGCUUGGUAUUGGGCAACGCGGUCCGCCGCGUGCCUCAAAUCGUCCGGCUGGGUCUUCUGUCCCCUAAGCGUUGUGGAAACUAUUCGCUAAAGGGUGUUCGGGAGGCUACGCCGUANAACAACCCCAUUUCUAAGGUUGACCUCGGAUCAGGUAGGGAUACCCGCUGAACUUAAGCAU